RNAcentral lists this ribosomal RNA (496 nucleotides) under uncultured Acidobacteriota bacterium. Its description in RNAcentral is "bacterial SSU rRNA". It matches the Rfam family "Bacterial small subunit ribosomal RNA", at positions 9 to 489 of the family's 1533-position model. Lineage: Bacteria; Pseudomonadati; Acidobacteriota. The record is from RNAcentral.
GAGUUUGAUCCUGGCUCAGAAUCAACGCUGGCGGCGUGCCUAACACAUGCAAGUCGAACGCGGUUAGUAGCAAUACUAACUGAGUGGCGAACGGGUGAGUAACGCGUGGGUGACCUACCUUCGAGUGGGGGAUAACGUCCCGAAAGGGACGCUAAUACCGCAUGACAUCCUGCCUUUGAACAGGCGGAGAUCAAAGCCGGGGAUCGCAAGACCUGGCGCUUGAUGAGGGGCCCGCGUCUGAUUAGCUAGUUGGUGAGGUAACGGCUCACCAAGGCGACGAUCAGUAUCCGGCCUGAGAGGGCGGACGGACACACUGGGACUGAGACACGGCCCAGACUCCUACGGGAGGCAGCAGUGGGGAAUUGUUCACAAUGGGCGCAAGCCUGAUGACGCAACGCCGCGUGGAGGAUGAAGGUCUUCGGAUUGUAAACUCCUGUUGCUCGGGAAGAAUGGCUCCGACCUAAUACGUCGGAGUGUGACGGUACCGGGUGAGGAA